This 492-nucleotide ribosomal RNA is filed under the name uncultured bacterium. RNAcentral describes it as "partial 16S ribosomal RNA". It matches the Rfam family "Bacterial small subunit ribosomal RNA", at positions 29 to 507 of the family's 1533-position model. The record is from RNAcentral.
AGUGAACGCUGGCGGUAGGCCUAACACAUGCAAGUCGAACGGCAGCACAGUAAGAGCUUGCUCUUACGGGUGGCGAGUGGCGGACGGGUGAGGAAUAUAUCGGAAUCUACUUUUUCGUGGGGGAUAACGUAGGGAAACUUACGCUAAUACCGCAUACGACCUACGGGUGAAAGCAGGGGAUCUUCGCACCUUGCGCGAUUGAAUGAGCCGAUGUCGGAUUAGCUAGUUGGCGGGGUAAAGGCCCACCAAGGCGACGAUCCGUAGCUGGUCUGAGAGGAUGAUCGGCCACACUGGAACUGAGACACGGUCCAGACUCCUACGGGAGGCAGCAGUGGGGAAUAUUGGACAAUGGGCGCAAGCCUGAUCCAGCCAUACCGCGUGGGUGAAGAAGGCCUUCGGGUUGUAAAGCCCUUUUGUUGGGAAAGAAAAGCAGCAGGUUAAUACCCCGCUGUUCUGACGGUACCCAAAGAAUAAGCACCGGCUAACUUCGUG